GAUGAACGCUGGCGGCGUGCUUAACACAUGCAAGUCGGGCGAAGCAGUUAAGUUGAUUUCUUCGGAUUGAUUCUUAACUGACUGAGCGGCGGACGGGUGAGUAACGCGUGGGUGACCUGCCCCAUACCGGGGGAUAACAGCUGGAAACGGCUGCUAAUACCGCAUAAGCGCACAGAGCUGCAUGGCUCGGUGUGAAAAACUCCGGUGGUAUGGGAUGGGCCCGCGUCUGAUUAGGCAGUUGGCGGGGUAACGGCCCACCAAACCGACGAUCAGUAGCCGGCCUGAGAGGGCGACCGGCCACAUUGGGACUGAGACACGGCCCAAACUCCUACGGGAGGCAGCAGUGGGGAAUAUUGCACAAUGGGGGAAACCCUGAUGCAGCGACGCCGCGUGAGCGAAGAAGUAUUUCGGUAUGUAAAGCUCUAUCAGCAGGGAAGAUAAUGACGGU
Molecule: ribosomal RNA, 448 nt
Filed under: uncultured bacterium
Lineage: Bacteria
Description: bacterial SSU rRNA
Rfam family: Bacterial small subunit ribosomal RNA
Source: RNAcentral